UGGGGAAUUUUGGACAAUGGGCGAAAGCCUGAUCCAGCAAUGCCGCGUGUGUGAAGAAGGCCUUCGGGUUGUAAAGCACUUUUGUCCGGAAAGAAAUGGCUCUGGUUAAUACCUGGGGUCGAUGACGGUACCGGAAGAAUAAGGACCGGCUAACUACGUGCCAGCAGCCGCGGUAAUACGUAGGGUCCAAGCGUUAAUCGGAAUUACUGGGCGUAAAGCGUGCGCAGGCGGUUGUGCAAGACCGAUGUGAAACCCCCGAGCUUAACUUGGGAAUUGCAUUGGUGACUGCACGGCUAGAGUGUGUCAGAGGGGGGUAGAAUUCCACGUGUAGCAGUGAAAUGCGUAGAGAUGUGGAGGAAUACCGAUGGCGAAGGCAGCCCCCUGGGAUAACACUGACGCUCAUGCACGAAAGCGUGGGGAGCAAACAGG
Molecule: ribosomal RNA, 429 nt
Filed under: bacterium
Lineage: Bacteria
Description: partial 16S ribosomal RNA
Rfam family: Bacterial small subunit ribosomal RNA
Source: RNAcentral